Molecule: long non-coding RNA, 645 nt
Organism: Oncorhynchus tshawytscha (Chinook salmon)
Lineage: Eukaryota; Metazoa; Chordata; Actinopteri; Salmoniformes; Salmonidae
Source: Ensembl
GGGGAGAGGAGAGGUGUAGAGAGGAGAGGAGAGGUGUAGAGAGGAGAGGAGAGGUGUAGAGGGGAGAGGAGGUGUAGAGGGGAGAGGAGGGGUGUAGAGGGGAGAGGAGAGGUGUAGAGGGGAGAGGAGAGGUGUAGAGAGGAGAGGAGAGGUGUAGAGGGGAGAGGAGAGGAGAGGAGAGGAGAGGAGAGGAGAGGAGAGGAGAGAUGAGGAGAGGAGAGGGGAGAGGAGAGGUGUAGAGGGGAGAGGAGGGAUUUAGAGGAGAGGGGAGAGGAGAGGUGUAGAGAGGAGAGGAGAGGCGUGGAGGGGAGAGGAGAGAUUUAGAGGGGAGAGGAGAGAUUUAGAGGGGAGAGGAGAGAUUUAGAGGGGAGAGCAGAGGUGUAGAGCGGAGAGGAGAGAUGUAGAGAGGAGAGGAGAGGUGUGGGGGGCAGAGAGGUGUAGAGGGGAGAGGAGAGAUUUAGAGGGGAGAGGAGAGAUUUAGAGAGGAGAGGUGUAGAGGGGAGAGGAGAGGUGUAGAGAGGAGAGGUGUAGAGGGGAGAGGAGAGGUGUAGAGGGGAGAAGAGAGAUUUAGAGGGGAGAGGAGAGAUUUAGAGGGGAGAGGAGAGGAGAGGAGAGGAGAGGAGAGGAGAGGAGAGGAGAGAUGAG